AAAUGAAUUGACGGGGGCCCGCACAAGCGGAGGAGCAUGUGGCUUAAUUCGAUGCAACGCGAAGAACCUUACCCGGGUUUGACAUGUAACUGCACGUCCUGUGAAAGCAGGAUUCCUUCGAGGGUGUUACACAGGUGCUGCAUGGCUGUCGUCAGUUCGUGCCGUGAGGUGUUUGGUUAAGUCCAGCAACGAACGCAACCCCUGUGUCCAAUUGCCAGCGAGUAAUGUCGGGAACUUUGGACAGACUGCCUAUUUACAUAGGAGGAAGGUGGGGACGACGUCAAGUCAGUAUGGCCCUUACAUCCGGGGCUGCACACGUGCUACAAUGGCCGGUACAGUGGGAAGCGAAGUCGCGAGGCGGAGCAAAUCCAUAAAACCGGUCUCAGUUCGGAUUGUAGUCUGCAACUCGACUACAUGAAGUCGGAUUCGCUAGUAACGGCGUAUCAGCUACGACGCCGUGAAUACGUUCCCGGGCCUUGCACACACCGCCCGU
This 493-nucleotide ribosomal RNA is filed under the name uncultured bacterium. RNAcentral's name for it is "bacterial SSU rRNA". It matches the Rfam family "Bacterial small subunit ribosomal RNA", at positions 903 to 1397 of the family's 1533-position model. The record is from RNAcentral.